This is an RNA transcript of Arachis stenosperma, 2751 nucleotides long. RefSeq lists it as uncharacterized. Lineage: Eukaryota; Viridiplantae; Streptophyta; Magnoliopsida; Fabales; Fabaceae. The transcript is spliced from 8 exons. The record is from RefSeq and is a predicted model, not a curated record.
CCUAUCAUUAACAAUAGAAUUCGCGUGGUUUUAUCUCUGAUGGGGAGAGCUCCCUGCGUUUCAGGUUGGCUUCCGUCCUAGGUGGCAGCUCUCCUCUAGCGUGGCUUCUCCUCUACAAGGGUGCAUGUGCUCCACUCUGAUUCCACCGUCAGCUAUCUUUUCUUGCGAUUCGGUGAUGCAAACUCCCUUCUUCAAGGAUUUGGUUGAUUAGGUUAGGAAUUUUCUGAUAGAGUCUCAAAUUGAAGAUCUCCAAUCAAUCAAUCAGUUUUUUUCUGGUGUGAUUACUUCUCCCUAUGCCAUUGAAUGAAGAUGCAUAUGGAUUGAGAUUUUCUUUUCUCUCCAUUUUCAUCUUCAAUUUGAGUUAAAAAAGGUGAGUCUUGUGUCCUAAAUUUUUUCUAUUAAAGGAUGGUUGGUGAACCACAUUUAAUACAAGCAUUCUACUGUCUUCCAUUUUCUCCUAAGCUGUGUUUGUUCGGCAUUUUCUCUGUUUAUAUCUUAAUCUAUUUCAUCAAGUUUAUUUUCCUCUUUUUUUUUCUCUGUAAUGCCUCUUCCAUUUGAUAUGAUUUCUAAGAUGCAUCUUCCUAGAGAGACUUGGAGGCUGAAAGUUAGGAUAUUAAGGCUUUGGGCUGUACUCUCUUUUGGUAAUCAUGAGGUUUCUAAUUGAAUGAAAAUGAUUCUUCUUAAUGAGCAUGUUAGCCCCUAUUAGCAACUGUUUUAAAUAUGGUGUUGGUUGUUGUUUUUAAGUUUUCAACUUAAAAUUAUGUGUUUUACUAAUCUGAUUUUGUUUUUUUGUUGUAUUUCCAGUGUGAAAAAAUUCAAGCUAUAAUUAAGAAACAACUUCUUAAUAGGUUUAAGUAUUAUAUAGUUGAAGGUCAAGUUUAUAGAAUGACAAACUUUACUGUUGUGUCAAAUCAUGGUAGUUAUAGAGCAACUUCUCAUGAAUUCAAAUUGGUUUUCCUUCACCGAUCCACUGUUAUACCUGUUGGUGAAGAUGUUAUCCUGAAGACUUGUUUCAACAUGUUUCCUUUUUCUGAGCUGCUGAACAUGACCCAAGAUUAUGAUUUUUUGGUUGGUCUUUUAACUUCAGUAGGAGAAGCGAAAGAAUAUGCAAAAGAGGAAAAAAUUGGAAAAAUAAUUGUGCUAGAAUUAACUUCAAAAAAGUGCGACUCUCUUGAGCCGAUGUAUUCAAACAUAACCUCUAUAAGCAACCUCUAUCUUACAGGUGCGACCAUCCCCUGGAUUGGCCGAUGUAUCUCUGGAAAACAAAUCUCGGUGGACUCACCACCAUAUCUCUGCUCGUUUUCAGCAGAUUUAAAAUUAAAAUAACACUUGAAGAUCAUAGAGGAGAGGGUAUUUUCGUUCUCUUUGAUCGUGAAGCAUCUUAUUUAUCUAAGAAAUCAUGUGCUGACUUAUUUAUUGAGGUUCAAAAAGAUGCAAGUGUAUGUUCUUAGUUUUCUUUCUGUGCUGUUCAGUUUAUGUGGUUCAUUCUUUUGUAGACAUAGUCUUUAUUUUGGUUGAUAUUUGUUGUUCAAACUAUGUAUUUCUUAUGUUUUUUACCUUGAAAAUAGUUUAUAUGUAGGGAUAUUUAUCCUUCCAUCUUUCAAUGAAAAAAAGUUGCUACUGAAAGUUGAUACCAAAGGUGUUGGAUUUGAUAAAUAUUUUGGCACAGCUAGGAGAGUAUGUGAUGACCGCACCAUUAUUACUAUAUUUAAACUUUCUGAUUAUGAUGCUAAUGAUGAGUCUACUCCAAAAAAGGUUACAUAUACAUAUAAGUAUUUUUAGAAUGUGUAAAUUCAUGUUUUUUUUGUAUUGUGCUGUGGUCUCCUCUUCUUAUCUUCUUUUUUUUUUUAUUUUUUAACUAUGAUGCUAUGUUAAUAGGAACCUGCAUUACAAAAAUCUGUGUUAUGUGAAAAAAGAGGUAUCGAUAUUAAGAAAGAGUCAUCAAACACUUCUAUCAAAAGUGAUAAAGUUGCUAUUGAGUUUUCUGGGAUUUUAUCUAAAUCACCAGUUCUUAUAGAUUUUUUGGCUGAAAAAUAGUCUGAUAUUUUCGGAGGGACUGAGGUUGCUGCCAUAACUAAUGAUGAAAAUGAAAAAUCUGAAAAAACACCCGAUAAUGACACCGUUAGUAAUGAUCGUUCUUCUGAACUGAAUAUAUUACUUAGCUCACCAGUAAAAGAAACUCAGGAAGUGUUCUUCGAAGUUCUUGAUGCAUCUUCCCACCAUAGAGAAAAGGUUAUUCAUAAAGAUCAUGUUGUUACUUUCAAGGAAAAGAUGAAUUUGAGUCUCUAAUUUGAUGAGGCGGCUAAUGAUACAAAUGGGCGUGGGUCCAAGAUUACCAAGGUUGAUGGAGUUUGAUUUAAGUUGUGGAGCUGAGUUGCUGUGUUUAGGUGUAGAUAUGUUAUAUAGUAUAUAUCUAUAAGUGUUUAGAAAGGCUUAUGAUUCCAAGUGGAUCUAAAUAUAAUCAUGCUGGCUGGAUAUUGUUUUGAUUUGACUUUUUUGGAUUAUGUCUAACUAAUAGGAUUGUCAGAUAUAGAAGUUUGUCUUGUGUGUUGGCUCAGGUCACGAGUCAACUAGGUCUAUUAUUAACUCCUUCUUUUGUAAUAGUGAAUUUAUUAGGGAUUAGACACAUUUUCAAUGUUGUAGCCUAUAGAUUACAUAUUAGGAUAUGUAGUCAGGUUUUGAAAUCCUCCUUAUCAUAGGAGAGAUAGCCAUAUAUAAUUGUGUAUAUCAAUAUAUUAAUGAAAUACAGCA